RNAcentral lists this transfer RNA (62 nucleotides) under Cavelerius excavatus. RNAcentral's name for it is "tRNA-Pro". Lineage: Eukaryota; Metazoa; Arthropoda; Insecta; Hemiptera; Blissidae. The record is from RNAcentral. RNAcentral also lists the same sequence under 1 other name.
CAGUAAAUAGUUUAUGAAAAUUUUAAUUUUGGGGAUUAAAGAUGGGUUAAUCUCUUUACUGA